CUCAGGAUGAACGCUGGCGGCGUGCUUAACACAUGCAAGUCGAACGAUGAUGGGAGCUUGCUCCUGGAUUAGUGGCGAACGGGUGAGUAACACGUGAGUAACCUGCCCUUAACUCUGGGAUAAGCCUGGGAAACUGGGUCUAAUACCGGAUAUGACUCCUCAUCGCAUGGUGGGGGGUGGAAAGCUUUAUUGUGGUUUUGGAUGGACUCGCGGCCUAUCAGCUUGUUGGUGAGGUAAUGGCUUACCAAGGCGACGACGGGUAGCCGGCCUGAGAGGGUGACCGGCCACACUGGGACUGAGACACGGCCCAGACUCCUACGGGAGGCAGCAGUGGGGAAUAUUGCACAAUGGGCGCAAGCCUGAUGCAGCGACGCCGCGUGAGGGAUGACGGCCUUCGGGUUGUAAACCUCUUUCAGUAGGGAAGAAGCGAAAGUGACGGUACCUGCAGAAGAAGCGCCGGCUAACUACGUGCCAGCAGCCGCGGUAAUACGUAGGGCGCAAGCGUUAUCCGGAAUUAUUGGGCGUAAAGAGCUCGUAGGCGGUUUGUCGCGUCUGCCGUGAAAGUCCGGGGCUCAACUCCGGAUCUGCGGUGGGUACGGGCAGACUAGAGUGAUGUAGGGGAGACUGGAAUUCCUGGUGUAGCGGUGAAAUGCGCAGAUAUCAGGAGGAACACCGAUGGCGAAGGCAGGUCUCUGGGCAUUAACUGACGCU
RNAcentral lists this ribosomal RNA (711 nucleotides) under Arthrobacter sp. SMCC B0686. Its description in RNAcentral is "bacterial SSU rRNA". It matches the Rfam family "Bacterial small subunit ribosomal RNA", at positions 23 to 747 of the family's 1533-position model. The record is from RNAcentral. Lineage: Bacteria; Bacillati; Actinomycetota; Actinomycetes; Micrococcales; Micrococcaceae.